Molecule: long non-coding RNA, 660 nt
Filed under: Gossypium barbadense (sea-island cotton)
Lineage: Eukaryota; Viridiplantae; Streptophyta; Magnoliopsida; Malvales; Malvaceae
Description: long non-coding RNA (GBAR_LNC009328)
Source: RNAcentral
UUGGGACUUCCCUCGUACUUUUCCCAUGAGAACACCUACUUUUAGCGAUACCAACUUUUAAAGAUAGUUACGUGAAUCGCCAGCUGAUUCAAUAGUUGAUUAUAGCUGUUAUAAGACUUGUUGAAAAACAGCAUUGAAGCUAUACAAUUUAUGUUGGGAAAGUCUUAACUCAAAUUCAACCCAACCUUCCCUCUUCUCUACUCUCAGGCUUCGGCCAAGGAAAGCAACCCAAAUGAACCAAUUAUGAACUUGCAUGUCCUCCAUGGUCGCCAAUAAGAUGGUCAAAAUCUGCUGUCGGCGAUUUGAGGAAGAAAUGAUCGAGAGAGAUGAUUUGAGGUUGGGCAUAAAAUCCGACGAAGGAAGGGUGAAAAGAAAUCAUAGACAUGGGAGAAGAACCAACCCACUCUAUAUUAUAUCAAACAACGUAAGAGGAAGAGACGUCUGAUCCAUGUGGAUAUGGCGGAAACACCAAGCUAUCUUCUAUUACCUUGAUGCUGCAAUGAUUCCGCCAUUAAUUACCAAGACUUGCUUUUCCUAUGGCCUCUGCUAAAAUCAACAACAGAAUGAAUGUCCGCUUCAUUUCUAUUAAAAGCUCACUGUUAUAUUUAAGGAAAAUGGUUUGCGUCUUUAAAUUUUCGAGUUUUUUUCCAUAGGGUUAAU